Molecule: long non-coding RNA, 457 nt
Organism: Tripterygium wilfordii
Lineage: Eukaryota; Viridiplantae; Streptophyta; Magnoliopsida; Celastrales; Celastraceae
Exons: 4
Source: RefSeq, a predicted model, not a curated record
AUUGGGAGGGAAAGAACUAAAGAAGAUUUUUGGGUAUGGCGGCAAAAGGCAAAAACUCUCUCAUUUCCCUUUGUUUUCCCUCGUCUGGUCCUCGCACUCUCUCGCCAUGGCCGUCGAACUAAAUGAAAGAUCUGCCGGUGCAAUUGGAAAUCUCUCUCACCUACUUGGGAAGGCAAGAGCUUACAGAGACGAUGCUUUGCGCAAAACCAAUUACCGGAAUAUAGAUCUUUGUGUGCUGAGUUCUUGACAUAGUUUUGCUAAUGCGGUAUUAUCUAAAUUUGAAUGGUCAGCUGUCGUUGAAAUCGGAUUCCUCACGAACAGAUGACAUAAAUGCCUACUUACACUUGGUGCUCUGUUCGUAGCCGAUUCACGUUCUUAAGCUUAGGUGUAGGAAUGGAAGCAGCCUCUGCAGUUAGAGCAACCAAGGCUUUUGAUAUAUCUCCUUCUUGAAGUUCCA